Molecule: ribosomal RNA, 234 nt
Filed under: uncultured bacterium
Lineage: Bacteria
Description: partial 16S ribosomal RNA
Rfam family: Bacterial small subunit ribosomal RNA
Source: RNAcentral
UGAGUAACCUGCCCUUAACUCUGGGAUAAGCCUGGGAAACUGGGUCUAAUACCGGAUAUGACUCCUCAUCGCAUGGUGGGGGGUGGAAAGCUUUUUUGUGGUUUUGGAUGGACUCGCGGCCUAUCAGCUUGUUGGUGAGGUAAUGGCUCACCAAGGCGACGACGGGUAGCCGGCCUGAAAGGGUGACCGGCCACACUGGGACUGAGACACGGCCCAGACUCCUACGGGAGGCAG